Long non-coding RNA from Oncorhynchus mykiss (rainbow trout), 2412 nucleotides. The record is from Ensembl. NCBI's taxonomy places the organism in Eukaryota, Metazoa, Chordata, Actinopteri, Salmoniformes, Salmonidae.
AUGGAGGCAUAUUUGAAUUGUUGCCAUGGAAACUCUCUCUGUCUCUCCCUCUCUGACUCUCUCUCUCUCUCCCUCUCCCUAUCUCUCUAUCUCCCUCUUUCUUCAUCCUUGCCCUGCCUCUGUCUCUGUCAUUGUCACUAUCUCACUCUUUUCUCCCAUACUUUCCUCUCCGACUUCUCUCACUGGCCAUCUUCUCUAACCUUCCUUCUCAUUGUGUGCUUCAUCACUCUUUCUUCUUCUCCCUUCAUCUUCAGCUCUUCUUUUAUCAUCCUAAUCAUCCCUCCAUCUUCUCAGCACCCAUCCUCCUCCCCCUCGCUGGAUAUCUUCUUGUUGCUGCUGUUCUUCUUCCUCCAACCAGCUCCAUCUGUGUUGUCUAUACCUCCAUUUAUUUUCCCUCCCAUCCUCUUCCUCCUCCUCCUCUCUCUACGUCCCUCCUCCUCCUCUCUCUACAUUCCUCCUCUUCCUCCUCCUCUCUCUACGUUCCUCCCACUCUCUUCCACUCUCUUCCUCCUCCUCUCUCUACGUUCCUCACACUCUCUUCCUCCUCCUCUCUCUACGUUCCUCCCACUCUCUUCCUCCUCCUCUCUCUACAUUCCUCACACUAUCUUCUUCCUCCUCCUCUCUUUAUGUUCCUCCCACUCUCUUCCACUCUCUUCCUCCUCCUCUCUCUACGUUCCUCACACUCUCUUCCUCCUCCUCUAUCUACGUUCCUCUCACUCUCUUCCUCCUCUUCUAUCUACGUUCCUCCCACUCUCUUCCUCCUCUUCUCUCUACGUUCCUCCCACUAUCUUCUUCCUCCUCUUCUCUCUACGUUCCUCCCACUAUCUUCUUCCUCCUCCUCUCUCUACGCUCCUCCCACUAUCUUCUUCCUCCUCCUCUCUCUAUGUUCCUCCCACUCUCUUCUUCCUCCUCCUCUCUCUACGUUCCUCCCACUCUCUCCUUCCUCCUCCUCUCUCUGCUUUCCUCCCACUCUCUUAUUCCUCCUCCUCACCUCUCUCUAUGUUCCUCCCACUCUCUUCCUCCUCCUCCUCACCUCUCUCUACGUUUCUCCCACUCUCUUCCUGCUCCUCCCCUCUCUGCUUUCCUCCCACUCUCUUCCUCCUCCUCCUCUCUCUGCUUUCUUCCCACUCUCUUCCUCCUCUUCCUCACCUCUCUCUACGUUCCUUCCACUCUCUUCCUCCUCCUCUCCUCUCUCUGCUUUCACUCCACUCUACUCCUUCUCUCCUCUCUCUGCUUUCAUCCCACUCUACUCCCCCUCUCCUCUCUCUGCUUUCAUCCCACUCUCGUCCUCCUCCUCUUCUCUCUCUGUUUUCAUCCCACUCUACUCCCCCUCUCCUCUCUCUGCUUUCAUCCCACUCUCGUCCUCCUCCUCUUCUCUCUCUGUUUUCAUCCCACUCUACUCCCCCUCUCCUCUCUCUGCUUUCAUCCCACUCUACUCCUCCACUCUCCUCUCUCUGUUUUCAUCCCACUCUACUCCUCCACUCUCCUCUCUCUGCUUUCAUCCCACUCUACUCCUCCACUCUCCUCUCUCUGCUUUCAUUGCACUCUACUCCUCCUCUCCUCUCUCUGCUUUCAUCCCACUCUACUCCUCCUCUUCUCUCUCUGCUUUCAUCCCACUCUCCUCCUCCUCUCCUCUCUCUGCUUUCAUCCCAUUCUCCUCCUCCUCCUCCUCCUCUCCCCUCUCUGUUUUCAUCCCACUCUAAUCCUCCUCUCCUCUCUCUGUUUUCAACCCACUCUUCUCCUCCUCCUCCUCUCCUCUCUCUGCUUUCAUCCCACUCUCCUCCUCCUCUCCUCUCUCUGCUUUCAUCCCAUUCUCCUCCUCCUCCUCCUCUCCCCUCUCUGUUUUCAUCCCACUCUAAUCCUCCUCUCCUCUCUCUGUUUUCAACCCACUCUCCUCCUCCUCCUCCUCUCAUCUCUCUGCUUUCAUCCCACUCUCCUCCUCCUCUCCCCUCUCUGCUUUCAUCCCACUCUACUCCCCCUCAUCCUCUCUCUGCUUUCAUCCCACUCUACUCCUCCUCAUCCUCUCUCUGCUUUCAUCCCACUCUCCUCCUCCUCCUCUCCCCUCUCUGCUUUCAUCCCACUCUCCUCCUCCUCCCCUCUCUCUGUUUCAUCCCACUCUCCUCCUCCUCCUCCUCUCUCUGCUUUCAUCCCACUCUACUCCUCCUCCUCCCCUCUCUGCUUUCAUCCCACUCUCCACUUCCUCCCCUUCUCCUCUCCCUGCUUUCGUCCCACUCUCCUCCUCCCUUCUCCUUUCUCUGCUUUCAUCCCACUCUCCUCCUCCCUUCUCGUUUCUCUGCUUUCAUCCCACGCUCUUCCUCCUCCUCCUCUCCUAUCUCUGCUUUACUCCCACUCUCUUCCUCCUCCUCCCCCUCUCCUCUCCUCCCAGCAGUGUCCAACCUCACUGAGGAUUGA